CUCCUGGAAACGGGUGGUAAUGCCGGAUGUUCCACAUGAGCGCAUGCGAGUGUGGGAAAGGCUUUUUGCGGCAUGGGAUGGGGUCGCGCCCUAUCAGCUUGUUGGUGGGGUAACGGCCUACCAAGGCGUUGACGGGUAGCCGGCCUGAGAGGGCGACCGGCCACAUUGGGACUGAGAUACGGCCCAGACUCCUACGGGAGGCAGCAGUGGGGAAUAUUGCACAAUGGGCGCAAGCCUGAUGCAGCGACGCCGCGUGCGGGAUGGAGGCCUUCGGGUUGUAAACCGCUUUUGUUCAAGGGCAAGGCACGGUUUCGGCCGUGUUGAGUGGAUUGUUCGAAUAAGCACCGGCUAACUACGUGCCAGCAGCCGCGGUAAUACGUAGGGUGCAAGCGUUAUCCGGAUUUAUUGGGCGUAAAGGGCUCGUAGGCGGUUCGUCGCGUCUGGUGUGAAAGUCCAUCGCUUAACGGUGGAUCCGCGCCGGGUACGGGCGGGCUUGAGUGCGGUAGGGGAGACUGGAAUUCCCGGUGUAACGGUGGAAUGUGUAGAUAUCGGGAAGAACACC
This 562-nucleotide ribosomal RNA is filed under the name uncultured Bifidobacterium sp. Its description in RNAcentral is "bacterial SSU rRNA". It matches the Rfam family "Bacterial small subunit ribosomal RNA", at positions 147 to 710 of the family's 1533-position model. The record is from RNAcentral. Lineage: Bacteria; Bacillati; Actinomycetota; Actinomycetes; Bifidobacteriales; Bifidobacteriaceae.